CCUACGGGAUGCAGCAGUGGGGAAUAUUGCACAAUGGGCGCAAGCCUGAUGCAGCCAUGCCGCGUGUGUGAAGAAGGCCUUCGGGUUGUAAAGCACUUUCAGCGGGGAGGAAGGCGUUAAGGUUAAUACCUUUGCUCAUUGACGUUACCCGCAGAAGAAGCACCGGCUAACUCCGUGCCAGCAGCCGCGGUAAUACGGAGGGUGCAAGCGUUAAUCGGAAUUACUGGGCGUAAAGCGCACGCAGGCGGUUUGUUAAGUCAGAUGUGAAAUCCCCGGGCUCAACCUGGGAACUGCAUCUGAUACUGGCAAGCUUGAGUCUCGUAGAGGGGGGUAGAAUUCCAGGUGUAGCGGUGAAAUGCGUAGAGAUCUGGAGGAAUACCGGUGGCGAAGGCGGCCCCCUGGACGAAGACUGACGCUCAGGUGCGAAAGCGUGGGGAGCAAACAGGAUUAGAUACCCGCGUAGUC
Molecule: ribosomal RNA, 465 nt
Filed under: uncultured bacterium
Lineage: Bacteria
Description: bacterial SSU rRNA
Rfam family: Bacterial small subunit ribosomal RNA
Source: RNAcentral